This is a long non-coding RNA of Mus pahari (shrew mouse), 453 nucleotides long. RefSeq lists it as uncharacterized. The record is from RefSeq and is a predicted model, not a curated record. The transcript has 3 exons. Lineage: Eukaryota; Metazoa; Chordata; Mammalia; Rodentia; Muridae.
GUUUACUUUAGCAGCCUUAGAAUACCUUCCUCAUUUCAUCUGAUCCUGUCAUGGAUUUCCUUUCUUGGAAAUUAUUCCAAAGAUUGGUUUACUUCAUCUGUGGUAUCAAACGUUGGUGGCUAACUUGCUGUGCUCCUUCUGAGGUAGCCCCGAAGAACACUGGAGACGGUGGAUAACGUUCCAAGAUGUUUUCUUUUGGAGACAACUAUACUGAAUUUCAUUGAAAGGAAAUUUGUAGUAAGAAGAAACAAAUUUCUCACAUUUCCAAAUUCCAAUAAGCAGUUUGGGCUUAAGUUUAAUUCUUUCUGUAUUUAUGUUUCUGAAAUUAAAAAUAUAUGAAUUCAAAUAAAAAAUAUCUUUUGGUGUUCACUAUGGAGAACAUUUGGUAUUUGGUAUUCAUAAAAAUAUAAUUAUUUUCACUUGAGCAACAAAUGACUAAUUAUUGAGUGUUUG